CAGAAAUCACAUAGAAACAGUGGUAUUAUUUCUUUUAAACAGUGUUAUCACUCCCCCAUAUAUUUUUCCAGAUGAAAUCAUAUGGAGAAUCCCAAAAUGGAAAACAAAUCCAUGUUGUUAAAGAAGGGAAGAAGGCCUCGAUCCCAGCCCAUGGUACCUACGGUUACCUCCCAGAAACCUCUGAAUCAAGCCAAGGAAUCCUGAGGAUUCUCUGUUGUGCAAAUCACUGCAGUGGAAUGAUGCAGUGGGGCAUAAGGACAAUGAAUCAGGUUGAAAUAAGUCAUUCAUGUGUGCUGCUGUUUGCACAGAUCUGUAAGAUCAGGGCAUAAAGAAACUUCAUCACUCAGUAAAGCUGUUCUGACCCCAGCCAAAACAAGGUAAAGAAUUAAGUGGCUACAUGUGUUAGUAGGAUAAAAUUGCCAUUAAUGUUGAAUACACAGAAUGAUGCUCUGAUCUCUUAUUGGACAAAGAAGUGCAUUGUAUUUAGGAUAAACAACAUACUCGAGAUAGUAGUCCAUUGUGUGUAUGGAGGCAGUGGUGAUCAUAUUGACAGGGAGACUGGUAGGAAAUGAAUCCUACUAUACCUUAUUAAAGGGAAAAGAAAAGGUGUUUCUGUUGAUAUUCUACGCAUCCCAUUCACUAGUUAUAGUAGAAU
This 655-nucleotide long non-coding RNA is filed under the name Homo sapiens (human). RNAcentral describes it as "HSALNT0127666". The record is from RNAcentral. Lineage: Eukaryota; Metazoa; Chordata; Mammalia; Primates; Hominidae.